This 1838-nucleotide long non-coding RNA is filed under the name Apis dorsata (giant honeybee). RNAcentral describes it as "uncharacterized LOC116184872, transcript variant X5". Lineage: Eukaryota; Metazoa; Arthropoda; Insecta; Hymenoptera; Apidae. The record is from RNAcentral.
UAGAUUAAGUUUAAAUAAAAAAUCAAACAAUGACUAGAUAUUAAAAAAAAAAAUAAUAAUUAAAAUGAUGCUAUAUUUAAAUCCAUUCUAUUUCACAGAGAAACCAACGAAAAAUCAAAUUUUUCUCCGCGAAUAUAAUUUGUAAUGCAAUCCUACUAUAUAACUCGUGUAAUAAAAGUUUCAUCGAUAUUUACUGUCUUCGGUAACCAUUACUGGUUUUUAAUGCAGAUUAUACAUGUUAUCGAUAAUUGAAAUCAAAAUUAUUAGGUACCAUAUUGUGAUAAAAAUUCUUUGUUUAAAUCUUUCUGAUAGGAAAAAAAAUAUAAAUUUUAUACAUCUAUUUUUUUCCUGUCAAUUUUACAAUAACAGUGUGACGAUUUAAUCAAGAAUUGUUGAUCGAUCUUUUUUCUUUUUCGUUUCAUUUGAAUUAAACAGACAGAAACUUGUUUCGAAAUUUAAAAUGAAUUUUUUAAUUUGUGCAAUUUGGUUCAAAGUUAAAUUUUUAGUAAGUUCAAUGAGUUAUUUAGAAUUUUAUUAUUUAUUGUUCAUGUGAAAUCUUGUGGCAUGUGGCAUGUAAUAAAUAACGUUAGAAAGUUCUAUAUGUUUGUUCGAAAAAUUUAAUCAAAGUAAAAGUAGAGUCGAGAUAUUGCUAUCAAAAGAAAACAAUCGAGAAUUUCUCGAUGCCAAGGUUCUUCAACGAAGAGGAAAAAAGCACGAAAUAAUUGAAAGAGUACUCCAAUUAUUUGGUUCCUGAAUGGACGGCGACUGGAAGCUUUUUAAUUCGAUAUUGUAACUUGAUUUUCCAACAUUUUGGACUAUAUCGACUGCAUUCAGUACAGCUUUUUGGCCGCGUAUUACAUUAUUUAGUUAAUAAAUUGCAUUCAAUCGUUCAAGUGAUCUUUGAAAUAAGGCCAAAUAUUAAUAAAAAACCGGAUAGAUCCAAUAAAAAUGGAAAUAGAGGGAAAUUGUGAAGGAAGCAAUUCUGAAAUGAUAGAAGCAGUAAUUAAGAGGAAACAAGAUGAAUUCUUGGGAAGGAGAGUCUUUAUCAUAGUAGGAGGAAAGAUUGGUCGUGGGAAGAACGACGACAAAAGAAGGCAAACUCAAGAUUUAAAUCUAGCUAGAGACAAUUUACAUGACGACACCUCCCUCGAAUCAUAGAAAUAAGAAGACAAAUAAGAAGAAGACAUUUCUGCUUUUAUUCAGACACAUUGAAUAAGUCGUUUACAUUGUAAACAGAAUGCCUCCUCGUUUCACUGAACAAACAGUGAGCCUUAACCAAGUUAAAACAAAUCUCGUUAAUAAUUCAUGAACCAUAGCACGACGAUUAUUUAAAUAAAUACGGAAUUGGAUUCCAGGCUGAAAAUCGUCAACGAAAAUAUCCAUUUAUUCUUGAAGGGAUCUAUCUUACAAUUGAAAAUAUAAUCGUAUAAAGGCCGGAAAUGUGUUGUUAGAAUGGCACAGAUAAUAUCAAAUGUUAAUUUCUUCUAAGCUUUGUAUUAUUUUCUCUCUAAAUACCGAAAAUCUCUAGAUAGAAUGCUGCGAUGAAUAACACUGGAGCAAGUAUAGUACCAAUGUUGGACCUUGCGAUUAGCUGUGUAUCAGGAUUUAGAAUGUUAUAUAGGGACAUGGUAUGACUAAGAAGUGAGGUAGUCAAGCCAGUAAUAGCCUACUCUAAAUAGUUGACAUUGUUCAUUGGUAAGAGGAAAAUAUAGUAUCUAAUAAUCAAACCUUUAUAUAUUACCAACCAUAUUACAUUAUUGUCAUUCACAUGCGACAUCCUUAAUCCUCUAUUAUUCUAAUUUUCAUUUUCACCCCUUCACAUUACAAUAAUAUUUCAA